UUCUUACAUCUUUUUAAAUAUAUUUCUAAGAACAGGUCAUCCAAAAUUUGAGAUAUUUCACAUGAAGAACAUGUAUGGAGGCUGACCUGUAUGCCAGUUCAGAUCCGUAGAGCCAGGUGUGCACUGCAUUUUAAAACUGGGAUAGUUUGGUUGGAAGAGUAUCUGCGCCACUCUGGCUUCUUUGGUUGAUGCAAGUUCAUGGAGGUGACCAGAUAAAAAGCUGCCAUUGUGGUUUCUCUUCAUGGAUUGCUUUGCGCUCCUCC
Molecule: long non-coding RNA, 263 nt
Filed under: Homo sapiens (human)
Lineage: Eukaryota; Metazoa; Chordata; Mammalia; Primates; Hominidae
Description: HSALNT0214447
Source: RNAcentral